Oncorhynchus tshawytscha (Chinook salmon) is the source of this 3608-nucleotide long non-coding RNA. The record is from Ensembl. NCBI's taxonomy places the organism in Eukaryota, Metazoa, Chordata, Actinopteri, Salmoniformes, Salmonidae.
GGAGAGAAAGAGCGGUGGGGUGAGAUAAAUAGAGGAAGUGGAGAGAGAGAAAACUAUUGAGUUAGAAAGAGCAAGAGAGAAGAGAGAUGGGCAGUUUAACCCACAAUGCAUUGUGGUACGUUGUGACUCGGUUAAAGUGUUGUCACUCAGCCCCAGUGUCACGUCAGCUUUCUACAGACAUACAGCUGUCAGCAUCUCCACUCUUCCUUUUAUGUGAGUGUUUAUGAGUGUGAAUGAUUGAGGUUGAGAUGGUGACAUUUUGAAAUCGUUUGCAACUAUUUCUCUGCAACCUGCCUGAAUAUUAUAGCACACUGCAAAGCCAACUGAAAUAUCUCUUUACACAGGGUGUUUCCAUUCACUUUCAUAUAAUCUCCCUAGAUAAGGCCAAAGUUAAGAGAUAUGCUACUGCAUACACAGUGUGGAGUCAGCUAGGGACACUAUGCCCUCUGUUUCCUAAGUCUGUGACUGUUAGAAUCGCACCUGCUUCUCCUAUCUGCGUCAGAGUCGAGAGAGAGCCAUAGAAAAUGGCGCGCUGAGGGACAACUUUAUCUUCACGCACCAGCAAGGCAGUUAUUGCUGUAAGAUGAAUGAUAUGCUUUUUUUUAUGUAGUCUUUGAGAAUGUUUCUUAAAUUCUUUGAGAAUGUUUUUAAAUGGUUUCCACUAGUUUAGCAAUUGAAGUUUGCGUGAUUAUAAUUGUUUUACUCCCAAGUUUUUGUCUCGUAGUUUGACUUCAUCAGUCUCUUCACAUUUACCAUUGAUUAACUUUGUUGACAAGCAAACCGAAUCCCUCAAGGCUGCAUUCAAAAGGGGUGUUACCACACAGAAACGAAUGAGGAACUAUUUUAGUCUCAGCAGUUAUAUCUCAUCUUCAUUCUGCUGUCUCAUAACAUCACAACGACAAAAUGUUGUGAAAUGGCUGACGUUGAAUGUAGCUCUCUGAGCUUCCAGCCUGUCAGCGAUGCUGUGUGCCAUGCUAUAUAUUUUUGGGUGAUGCUCUGUAAUGGUGGUGUAAUGUGUGUGUGUGUGUGUGUUUGUGUGUGAUAGAUGGGCCAUCAGGGCUUAUAAAGGGUCUGGGACAUUUCAGCCAGUUCACAUCAGCGAGCCAGUGUAAUUUACAGAAGGCUGGGAAAUAGCAGGGCGCUGAGCAGAGGGGGAGACACUCAAUGUUUUCACCACAGGAGGAAGAGGGAGAGAGAGAAAGAAAAAAAGAAAGAGAGAAAUAAAGAAAUAAAAAGAGAAUGAGAGAGAGGUAACAUUAAAAGUUUUAGCCUGCUGUCUCUCAUAAAGAAAGAGAGAAAGAGGGAAAGACAGAGAGUAGUUGGAUAAGAUGAAAUUGCAUUCGAUUUGAAAAAUGCAUAAACCAGUACGUUUUCAUCUCAUUUCAACCAGCAUUGUAAACAUUGAAGUUAGGGUAAAACCUCACGUUAAAUACAUUGACUUAACCUGAUUUAACAUGUUGUUACAUCAAUCAAAUUUCAACAUAAUCAUCAGAACUAUGUAUACGUUGAAACUGUGUAGAAACGUAAAUGAUCCUUUUCAUCCUAUAUUCAGUGCCUUCAGAAAGUAUCCACACCCCUUAACUUCUUCCAAAUGUUGUUGUGUUACAGCCUGAAUUUAAAAUGGACAACAUUUAGAUUUUGUGUCACUGGUCUACACACAAUAGCCCAUCAUGUCAAAGUGGAAUUAUGUUUUUAAUUUUUUUAAAUUGACAAAUUAAUAAAAAAUGUAAAGCUGAAAUGUCUUGUCAAUAAGUAUUAAACCCCUUUCUUUUGGAAAGCCUAAAUAAGUUCAGUAAUGCAAUGUUGCAUAACAAGCCACAUAAUAAGUUGCAUGGACUCACUCUGUGUGCAAUAAUAGGGUUUAACAUGAUCUUUUUUAUGACUACCUCAUCUCUGUUCCCCACACAUAAGGUCCCUCAGUCCAGCAGUGAAUUUCAAACAGAGAUUCAACCACAAAGACCAGGGAGGCUUUCCAAUGCAUCGCAAAGAAGGUCACCUACAGUAUUGAUCAAUUUUAAAACAAUUUUAAAACAUACAUUGUAUUUAUAUACAAUACCAGUCAAAAGUUUUGAAACACCUACUCAUUCAAAGGUGUUUCUUUAUGUUUGACUAUUUUCUACAUUGUAGAAUAAUAGUGAAGACAUCCACACUAUGAAAUAACACAUAUGGAAUCAUGUAGUAACCAAAAAAGUGUUAAAGAAAUUAAAAUAUUUUAUAUUUGAGAUACUUUCAAGUAGCCACCCUUUGCCUCUAUGACAGCUUUGCACACUCUUGGCAUUAUCCACAAUCUAAAUGUGUUUAUUCAACUUUCUUGUUAUUUUUCUGUUUGAUGGAAACAGUAUGAGAGUUUUAACUACAUUCCAUCUGUAGUCAAUUGUUUUAUGUAGUUGCUUUUUCAUGUUUUGAAUGUUGUAUUGUAGUAACCCUCAAGCUUUUUUUUCUCCAUAGUGUAAGGACUAUUUCAUCACGCAGAAUGUUUAUACUUAAAAAUAUGUAACUUUGUGCAGCAUCUAUAAUCGAAAUGUGUUUAUCCAACUUUCUUGUUGUUUUUCUGUUUGACUUUGUAUGGGCAUUUAUUUGACUUAUAUUGUGGUUGAUACGCAACAACAAAAAAUACUUCAUAAUAAGAUAAUACAUCAGUUAUCUACCGACAACAAAUUUGGCUAGACAGCAAAUAAACUUUAAACACCAUUUUUCUCAGUUUCAAUGUUUGCGUAGUAACUUAAGUUACUGCUUGAUUGCCUUGGUUUUUACUCAGAUUAUAUGGUUACUGCACUUUUAACACUCAAUUUUCUCUGAAACAGAACAGAAUUGAACCAGGACACUUCAUCACAAGAUAAAACACAUAAUACAAAGCCUGAUUUCAGUCUUAACUCAAUUUUCACCAAAAGUCUAGUUACUAUAUUUUGCCUUUGUAGGGCAGUAUAGUCUACACAUGUUUUAUGCAUGUCGUUUGUGGUUAUUGUCGGCCACUAAAGGUGGUCUGCACUACGGCCAGAGGUUCCGUGUGUAACAACGCAAAGUGGGAGAUCUCUAAUCAAUGCAAAAUGGAAUUAAAAUGGCGUAAUUACGUUAGCUAAAUGAGAAGGAGUAAGCUACAAUGAGCAACCAACAGGCAGGCUGUUGUUUAAACUGAAUAGAGUUGUUGUAACAUUAGACAAGGACGGAGAGCGCAGCAGAAUAGCCCCAUCUACCCUAGCUAGCUAGCUAGCUAACAUUGGCGGAUGUGGUUGAUUAAGACGUAGCCCAUGAAACAAAAAACACAUAUCUCUAGCUUAAACAGACAGUUUUAUAUUGGAAUGCUAAUACCCUUUCCAAGGGGGUGCGGACAUCGACUCUAGGGUUUUAAAUGUAGAGAAAUAUCCUCUGUGGUUAUGACAUAGAGAAGGGAUUGAGGACUGAGAGGAAAUGUCCGCAAUCGAAAUGGAGAAAUAAAGAGAUAAAUGGAGUGAGUACAAAAUACUGGCGCGAUGCAUCAAUCACCCUGCACCUCUAUUACAGGUCAAAGCAUACUAUUCCUCCAAUCUGGGUCAGAGUGACCUGGCCUGCAUUGACCAAUAGGCUUUCAACGGACCCAUAUGGGGCCCCAGUUUCUCAUCUAGAACAGA